Molecule: ribosomal RNA, 305 nt
Filed under: uncultured bacterium
Lineage: Bacteria
Description: bacterial SSU rRNA
Rfam family: Bacterial small subunit ribosomal RNA
Source: RNAcentral
UUUUCCUACGGGGGGCAGCAGUGGGGGAUAUUGCACAAUGGGGGGAACCCUGAUGCAGCGACGCCGCGUGGGUGAAGAAGCGCCUCGGCGCGUAAAGCCCUGUCAGCAGGGAAGAAAAUGACGGUACCUGAAGAAGAAGCCCCGGCUAACUACGUGCCAGCAGCCGCGGUAAUACGUAGGGGGCAAGCGUUAUCCGGAUUUACUGGGUGUAAAGGGAGCGCAGGCGGCCUGGCAAGCCUGAUGUGAAAUACCGGGGCCCAACCCCGGGGCUGCAUUGGGAACUGCCAGGCUGGAGUGCCGGAGAG